RNAcentral lists this ribosomal RNA (450 nucleotides) under uncultured bacterium. Its description in RNAcentral is "bacterial SSU rRNA". It matches the Rfam family "Bacterial small subunit ribosomal RNA", at positions 330 to 797 of the family's 1533-position model. The record is from RNAcentral.
GCCAGACUCCUACGGGAGGCAGCAGUGGGGAAUAUUGGGCAAUGGGCGAAAGCCUGACCCAGCAACGCCGCGUGAAGGAAGAAGGCUUUCGGGUUGUAAACUUCUUUUGACAGGGAAGAGCAGAAGACGGUACCUGUCGAAUAAGCCACGGCUAACUACGUGCCAGCAGCCGCGGUAAUACGUAGGUGGCAAGCGUUAUCCGGAUUUACUGGGUGUAAAGGGCGUGUAGGCGGGGACGCAAGUCAGAUGUGAAAACCACGGGCGCAACCUGUGGCCUGCAUUUGAAACUGUGUUUCUUGAGUACUGGAGGGGCAGACGGAAUUCCUAGUGUAGCGGUGAAAUGCGUAGAUAUUAGGAGGAACACCAGUGGCGAAGGCGGUCUGCUGGACAGCAACUGACGCUGAGGCGCGAAAGCGUGGGGAGCAAACAGGAUUAGAUACCCCAGUACAA